RNAcentral lists this ribosomal RNA (444 nucleotides) under uncultured bacterium. RNAcentral's name for it is "bacterial SSU rRNA". It matches the Rfam family "Bacterial small subunit ribosomal RNA", at positions 60 to 501 of the family's 1533-position model. The record is from RNAcentral.
AGUCGACGGCAGCACGGGGGCACCCUGGUGGCGAGUGGCGAACGGGUGAGUAACAUAUCGGAACGUGCCCUGGAGUGGGGGAUAACUAGUCGAAAGAUUAGCUAAUACCGCAUACGAUCUACGGAUGAAAGUGGGGGAUCGCAAGACCUCAUGCUCGUGGAGCGGCCGAUAUCUGAUUAGCUAGUUGGUGGGGUAAAGGCCUACCAAGGCAUCGAUCAGUAGCUGGUCUGAGAGGACGACCAGCCACACUGGGACUGAGACACGGCCCAGACUCCUACGGGAGGCAGCAGUGGGGAAUUUUGGACAAUGGGCGCAAGCCUGAUCCAGCAAUGCCGCGUGAGUGAAGAAGGCCUUCGGGUUGUAAAGCUCUUUUGUCAGGGAAGAAACGGUUCGGGUUAAUACCUUGGGCUAUUGACGGUACCUGAAGAAUAAUCACCGGCUAAC